Molecule: transfer RNA, 70 nt
Filed under: Heterocerus parallelus
Lineage: Eukaryota; Metazoa; Arthropoda; Insecta; Coleoptera; Heteroceridae
Description: tRNA-Lys
Rfam family: tRNA
About the family: Transfer RNA (tRNA) molecules are approximately 80 nucleotides in length. Their secondary structure includes four short double-helical elements and three loops (D, anti-codon, and T loops).
Source: RNAcentral
CAUUAGAUGACUGAAUUGCAAGUAUUGGUCUCUUAAACCAUAUUAUAGUAGUACGCAUCUACUUCUAAUG